This 74-nucleotide transfer RNA is filed under the name Hydrogenobacter thermophilus. RNAcentral's name for it is "tRNA-Lys". It matches the Rfam family "tRNA". From Rfam's summary of the family: Transfer RNA (tRNA) molecules are approximately 80 nucleotides in length. Their secondary structure includes four short double-helical elements and three loops (D, anti-codon, and T loops). Further hydrogen bonds mediate the characteristic L-shaped molecular structure. tRNAs have two regions of fundamental functional importance: the anti-codon, which is responsible for specific mRNA codon recognition, and the 3' end, to which the tRNAs corresponding amino acid is attached (by aminoacyl-tRNA synthetases). tRNAs cope with the degeneracy of the genetic code in two manners: having more than one tRNA (with a specific anti-codon) for a particular amino acid; and 'wobble' base-pairing, i.e. permitting non-standard base-pairing at the 3rd anti-codon position. Lineage: Bacteria; Pseudomonadati; Aquificota; Aquificia; Aquificales; Aquificaceae. RNAcentral also lists the same sequence under 2 other names. The record is from RNAcentral.
GAGCCGGUAGCUCAGCUUGGUAGAGCAACGGACUUUUAAUCCGUGGGUCGCGGGUUCAAAUCCCGCCCGGCUCA